AAUUUCGUGGAGGCUCGAACCGUUUAGUGUUGAAAAACUAUCGGAUGACGUGUGGGUAGCGGUGAAAUUCCAAUCGAACCCGGAGAUAGCUGGUUCUCCUCGAAAUAGCUUUAGGGCUAGCCUCGAUACAGAUUUGCGGAGGUAGAGCACUGAAUUUCCUAGGGGGCGUCAAAGCCUACCGAAGAAUAUCAAACUCCGAAUGCCGCGUAAUCGAUUAUCGGGAGUCAGACUGCACGAGAUAAGUUGGGCGGUCAAAAGGGAAAGAGCCCAGACCUUCAGUUAAGGUCCCCAAGUGCGCGUUAAGUGGAAAAGGAUGUGGGAUUUCGAAGACAACCAGGAUGUUGGCUCAGAAGCAGCCAUCCAUUCAAAGAGUGCGUAAUAGCUCACUGGUCGAGAGGUCCUGCGCCGAAAAUGUCCGGGGCUGAAACGCGCCACCGAAACUAAGGAACCGAAAGGUUGGUAGAGGAGCAUUGCAUGCGGGAAGAAGCAGUACCGUAAGGAGCUGUGGACUGCAUGGAAGAGAGAAUGCCGGAAUGAGUAGCGAGAAUAAGGUGAGAAUCCUUAUGGCCGAAUAUCCAAGGUUUCCAGAGUAAAGCUGAUCUGCUCUGGGUAAGUCGGGGCCUAAGGCGAGGACGAGAGUCGUAGCCGAUGGACAACAGGUGGAGAUUCCUGUACUGCGGUAUGACAGAACUGUGGGGACACGUAAGGAAAGCGGAAGCCGGGAAUGGAAAGCCCGGUGCAAGCGGGGUACCAGCCACUUUGGCAAAUCCGGGUGGCAAUGGGAAGCCGUGAUGCGGAGCGAAAUAAAGUAGCGAAGUCCGUGAGCCAUGCGUCAAGAAAAGCCGCUAUCGUUUAUACCGUACCCGUACCGUAAACCGACACAGGUGGAUGAGGAGAGAAUCCUAAGGCCGGCGGAAGAAGCAUUGUCAAGGAACUCGGCAAAAUGGCCCCGUAACUUAGGGAUAAGGGGUGCCUGGGAAACCAGGCCGCAGAGAAUAGGCUCAAGCAACUGUUUAGCAAAAACACAGGUCUAUGCGAAACCGAAAGGUGAGGUAUAUGGGCUGACGCCUGCCCGGUGCUGGAAGGUUAAGAGGAGAGGUUAGCGGUAACGCGAAGCUUUGAAUUUAAGCCCCAGUAAACGGCGGCCGUAACUAUAACGGUCCUAAGGUAGCG
This 1173-nucleotide ribosomal RNA is filed under the name Anaerosalibacter bizertensis. RNAcentral's name for it is "partial 23S ribosomal RNA". It matches the Rfam family "Bacterial large subunit ribosomal RNA", at positions 760 to 1961 of the family's 2925-position model. Lineage: Bacteria; Bacillati; Bacillota; Tissierellia; Tissierellales; Sporanaerobacteraceae. The record is from RNAcentral.